RNAcentral lists this ribosomal RNA (202 nucleotides) under uncultured prokaryote. RNAcentral describes it as "partial 16S ribosomal RNA". It matches the Rfam family "Bacterial small subunit ribosomal RNA", at positions 524 to 725 of the family's 1533-position model. The record is from RNAcentral.
UACAGAGGGUGCGAGCGUUGUCCGGAAUCACUGGGCGUAAAGGGCGCGUAGGUGGCUUGUUAAGCGUGUGGUGAAAGCCUGGGGCUCAACCCCAGGUCUGCCGUGCGGACUGGCAAGCUUGAGCAGAGUAGAGGCGAGUGGAAUUUCGGGUGUAGCGGUGGAAUGCGUAGAUAUCCGAAAGAACACUGGUGGCGAAGGCGGC